Molecule: ribosomal RNA, 775 nt
Filed under: uncultured organism
Description: LSU rRNA
Rfam family: Eukaryotic large subunit ribosomal RNA
Source: RNAcentral
AGACUACCAGGAUUCCUCAGUAAGGGCGACUGAAGCGGGAAGAGCUCCACUUGUGAAUCUGCGCUUGCGCCGAAUUGUGGUGUGUUUACGUUAUUGUCCGGGCCAAGUCCCUUGGAAAAGGGCAGCAGAGAGGGUGAGACUCCCGUUCGCCCGGACUUUUGAGUAGACAUGAUCGAGUCGAGUUGUUUGGGAUUGCAGCUCAAAGCGGGUGGUAAAUUCCAUCGAAAGCUAAAUAUUGGUGGGAGACCGAUAGCGUACAAGUACCGUGAGGGAAAGAUGCAAAGAACUUUGAAAAGAGAGUUAAAGAGUACCUGAAAUUGCUGAAAGGGAAGCGAAGGAAACCAGUGUCAUCCCCGUCAUACUUCUCUGCUCGCUUGCGGGUAGGGCGCUGUGGCUGGAUUGGUCAGGCUUGGUUGUGAGUGUCGGAAAGGCGUCAGAGGAGUUGACUCUGAUUGCUGGCGACAGUUGCGACUGAGGUUGUCGAAAUGGUUUUCUUUACCCCGUCUUGAAACACGGACCAAGGAGUCUAACAUAUGUGCGAGUACAGGGGUGGCAAACCCCGGUGCGUAAUGAAAGUGACAGUGGUUGGACAAUUUUGCACAAUCCGCCGGCCUCAAUCCCUCGGGAGAACGGUCUGAGUGUGAGCAUACAUGUUGGGACCCGAAAGAUGGUGAACUAUGCCUGAAUAGGGUAAAGCCAGGGGAAACUCUGGUGGAGGCUCGUAGCGAUUCUGACGUGCAAAUCGAUCGUCAAAUUGGGUAUAGGCGAGACUAUC